GCAGCAGCCGCGGUAAUACGGAGGGGGCUAGCGUUGUUCGGAAUUACUGGGCGUAAAGCGCACGUAGGCGGCUUGGUAAGUUAGAGGUGAAAGCCUGGAGCUCAACUCCAGAAUUGCCUUUAAGACUGCCGAGCUAGCAGGUGAGAGAGGUAAGUGGAAUUCCGAGUGUAGAGGUGAAAUUCGUAGAUAUUCGGAAGAACACCAGUGGCGAAGGCGGCUUACUGGCUCAUACUGGACGCUGAGGUGCGAAAGCGUGGGGAGCAAGCAGGAUUAGAUACCCCGGUAGUCCCUGUCUCUUAUAA
RNAcentral lists this ribosomal RNA (302 nucleotides) under uncultured bacterium. Its description in RNAcentral is "partial 16S ribosomal RNA". It matches the Rfam family "Bacterial small subunit ribosomal RNA", at positions 508 to 809 of the family's 1533-position model. The record is from RNAcentral.